This 316-nucleotide long non-coding RNA is filed under the name Capsella rubella. Its description in RNAcentral is "long non-coding RNA (CRUB_LNC001365)". Lineage: Eukaryota; Viridiplantae; Streptophyta; Magnoliopsida; Brassicales; Brassicaceae. The record is from RNAcentral.
GCUCACCAAUUUCUCCGCCGCAUUUGGCUCCCUCUAAUUAAGGGUUUGCAUGGAUAUUUUGUAAUCCUAAAAUAUUAUAUAUAUAUAAUAGACUAAAAGUCUACAACACUUACCUUGACGUAUUAAAAACAAAAACAUAAAAUCAAAAAAAAUUCACAUGAUUUGAACCUAGGAUAUCACAUAUAUACUAUUCAUCCGGUGCAUGGCCAGAGUGAUCGAUAAUGUAAGAGACAGUUUCCAUUUUUUAACAGAAACAAAAAAAAAAAAAAGAGAGAGGGAAGACUUUUUCCAUUUAAUUGUUAAAUUUCCUCCGUUC